Long non-coding RNA from Mustela erminea (ermine), 2512 nucleotides. RefSeq lists it as uncharacterized. The transcript has 2 exons. Lineage: Eukaryota; Metazoa; Chordata; Mammalia; Carnivora; Mustelidae. The record is from RefSeq and is a predicted model, not a curated record.
AAUGAAUAAAUAAAAAUCUUUAAAAAAAAACAAAAAACAAAAAAACUCCGUGUAACUUUUAACUCCUAAAAGGCUAUUGUUGACCAAAAGCCUUACUGAUAAUGUAAAUAGUGAUUACCACAUACUUGUAUAUGCGUCAUGUAGUAUAUGUUUGCAGUGAAGCAGGCUAGAGAAAAGAUUUUAUUAAGAAAGUCAUAAGGAGGAGGAACUACAUGGAAAGCAUUGGACCGUGUUACAAAAAAGGCCACGUGUAAGUGGACCCGUGCAAUUCGAACACAGCUUGAUCAAGGGUUAGAAGAGUUUUGUUAAUCCUUAUUAAUGUACCAGGUUCCGAACCUGGUGUAUGAGAUAAAGAGGCAGCGUGAGGCACACAGAAGUUACACUGACCGGGUCGUGCAGCGAAGAAGUGGCAUGUCUAGUCCCGUAUUCAUCGUUUCGUCUCUUUGCUGAGGCCGUCCUCUGUGCUGAAAGAAAAUUCAUACAAACCUGGGCAUGUUCAUGAGCAGAUUACUGCCCCGUACUAUAUAAUGCAUUAGUUCCUGUAGACAUCAGAGUCUUUCCGUGUGGGUUCUUGAGUUCAUUAGCAGGGAAACUCAUUUAAAAAAUAGUAAGUUCCUGGUUUGAAAAGUAAACACUGCAGAGAAUGAUAGCAAUUAUCGAAUGUAAACAGUGUGGCCUUUGAGAGCCUCUGUGAAAUCAUUUAGUGAAUUAAAUGAUUAUGCUUUCGGUGUUCAUAUAUAUUUGUACUUUCAUUGACUGUUAAGGAAAGUGCUUCAAGGAGGACAGAUGAGAUACAGGUGAAGUUUAUUUUUAAGUCAGUAAUGUUCUUAAGUAAAGCAAAACACAACGACAGCUAACAGAUACACAGUGACUUGGAAUCUGGCUUCUGUUUUGAGACACUGUCUUUAAAAUGACCGGUGCCACAAAUUUAAACCCAUUCGUAAGCAGUGGAGCUGGAGGGUGUUGGAAUAUUCCAGAAUAAAGUGAGAAACCAGUAACUUCAGGAAAAUUUCGUCAUUGAAAUAGUGUGUAGUCUGCUGGAGUUUGAGGGAGAAAGUGAAUUCGGCAGGACGGAGAAGGAAGGUUAGAAGAUACGGGAAGAAACGGGGGCCUGGACUUUCCUAGGAUCCUGGGGAAGUGAGGUUUUCCUCAGAAGGGCACCAGUGUACUCACCGUCGCCUGCCCGCCGUGUGACAGGUCUCUUCAUACAUCGGUGGCCACCUCCGCGACAGCCUUGCCGAGUCUGCAGCCUCGGUUAAUUGGCUUGCUUGGGGUUUACAGUCAGUAGCCAACAGAGCCAAGUUGCAAACCCAGAUCUGUCUGACUCCAUCCCUUAAUGUCAUUUCUUCUGACCUCCUUCCUCAGGACUGGAUUCCCAGAGAUUCCUCCAUCGAGAUUACGCAUGGAGAAGAGCUGUCAGUCCAGCCUGAGGCCGUAGUCAUCGUGUGAAUAGGUUUCUUCCCCGUUUCACCUGCUUUCUCUUUCCAGUUUGCACAAGGUCUUUGCUCUGUGGGUUUCGUGUGUCCCCUUCAGCGUUAGCCCUGCGAGCAGUGUCCGUUUGAUUUUGCUGUGGAACGUGCAGAGACUUUAGACGGGGGCGAAAACGAUCCCAGCACUCCUGCACGAGCAGUAGUCCCCACCCCGCUGCGACAUUAAGUUCGGUCUGUCUUCGGCAGUAUGUGCCCCGGCCCUUGGCCCUGGCACUCCGGGGGAUUCUGAAAGGGAGAAUUUGAGAACAACAUUCCAGGCUUCGAGGCUCCACAUUCCUUGGGUUCUGUUGGAGGACUUCUUGGCAGCAUUCAAAGAAGCCUGUGUUUUCCUAUUAAUUUUCCAUCCCAGGCCACCUGCUUCCGCCUUCCUGCUGUUUUCCUUUUGUACCUACGUGGUUGGUGCUCCUAAGGCUUUCCGCACCGGCUUUCAUCAUUUAUACCACCGAGUUUUACAGGAGCUUUUCUUUUCAGAUUUUGAUGUUUGACACAGUUACAGAUUUUUAUUUAUUUAUUUUUAAUAUGUUCACUUCUGAACCUUUUUAGACUUUAUGGUGACGGCCUCCAGGAGAGCGAGAGAGAAAAAAAAAAAGAAGACCAGGCACAUUUUGUGUAGAGUCAGGAGGCAGAGGGCAGAGGGCGUACGGUUGAUGGGAACAAGUUAUUGAUUUCUCAGGAUGCAGAUCCUAACUGUGGGUAAAUUUAGAGUUGACCUAUUUGGGGGGGGUGGUUCUGUAACGUCAGAAGUUGAUUCUGGAGAAGACGCUGACUUGGAUGUGGCUGGGAUGAGCCCCUGUGAAGGAAUAGUGGAUUUUCGCUCUCUAGCCUCGUUUGUGGAGAGAAAGCAAGCCGCCCGGGUUUCCUGCAGCAGGAAGCCUGCAAAUCAAAGCCUUUGAACCAGGAGCAACCCGGGAAUGCCCUGUGUCCCACGCAAGUGAGAUUGGUGGCAACUCUGUUGCCCCUGCCCGUGGUUAACCCUAGUGGGUUUCCAGAUCUCUCUGUGCCUCAGGCUCUCUUUUUGAUGC